UAGGGAAUCUUCGGCAAUGGGGGCAACCCUGACCGAGCAACGCCGCGUGAGUGAAGAAGGUUUUCGGAUCGUAAGGCUCUGUUGUAAGAGAAGAACGUGUGUGAGGGUGGAAAGUUCACACAGUGACGGUAACUUACCAGAAAGGGACGGCUAACUACGUGCCAG
RNAcentral lists this ribosomal RNA (165 nucleotides) under uncultured bacterium. RNAcentral describes it as "partial 16S rRNA". It matches the Rfam family "Bacterial small subunit ribosomal RNA", at positions 355 to 511 of the family's 1533-position model. The record is from RNAcentral.